RNAcentral lists this ribosomal RNA (372 nucleotides) under uncultured bacterium. RNAcentral describes it as "bacterial SSU rRNA". It matches the Rfam family "Bacterial small subunit ribosomal RNA", at positions 524 to 898 of the family's 1533-position model. The record is from RNAcentral.
UACGGAGGAUCCAAGCGUUAUCCGGAUUUAUUGGGUUUAAAGGGUGCGUAGGCGGUUUAUUAAGUCAGGGGUGAAAGACGGCAGCUUAACUGUCGCAGUGCCUUUGAUACUGAUGAACUUGAAUGUACUAGAAGUAGGCGGAAUGUGACAAGUAGCGGUGAAAUGCAUAGAUAUGUCACAGAACACCGAUUGCGAAGGCAGCUUACUAUGGUAUGAUUGACGCUGAGGCACGAAAGCGUGGGGAUCAAACAGGAUUAGAUACCCUGGUAGUCCACGCCCUAAACGAUGAACACUCGAUGUUGGCGAUAUACGGUCAGCGUCAAAGCGAAAGCGUUAAGUGUUCCACCUGGGGAGUACGCCCGCAAGGGUGAA